AAAGGAAAAAACAAAAAAACAUAGAAAAUCAAAACCAAGAGUGCAACGCGGGGCCCCUCCGCGGACCGCAGCGGGGAGACGCGCGCUAGGCCCUUCCGGUCGGAGUUGCCGUCUCCGGUACGCCGGGCGACGGGCCGAGCUUCCACCCGAGCCCGGGGAUUCUCGGCCUGUACUCGCGGCGUCCUAUAACCGACUUUGGCCUCAGCGGCGCCUUGGACGAUGCACACUGGUUUGCAACAGAAGCUCGGGGCGCCGCAGAGUGUCCCGAAGGAGCUGCGCGGAGCGCCGAGCCCGGGGCUGGCCGACUGAGGACGCGGCAACGGCAGUGGCCGCCCCUCCCCCACCGGGCCGCCCCAACCGCCGCUGCUCGCGUCGCAGCGGUAUCCGCGCCAGGGCCCAACCGCCCGGGCGGCCGAGGCCAAGCCAGGUGGCCUGAAGUGGCUGCGCCCGGCCUGCUCCCCACCACGACCGCGCGGAGCCGCCCAGGGCCCGUUACUCCGCGCGCCGCCACCGGUGAGGACGCGCCGCCCUCGGCUGAAGCGACCAACGGCAGCGGGAGGCCGCGGACCUGAGACUUACUCAGGGGUCGGGUGCUCGGGAUCGUAGAAAUCCCCCAUCUUCGGUGGCGGCUGCGACGGCAGCUGCUUCAUGAGGAGCAGCUGGAGGCGGCGACGCUAGCCCCCUCCCCGCGGCAGGCCGAUGCGGGGGAGGGGACCGGAGGGGAGGAGGCCGCUGGUCGGAUCGCGGCGGCGGCAGGGGCGGCCCGCGUCGCUGGCUGGCUGGCUCGCCCGCUCACUCCCUCCCUCCCUCCCUCCGGCAACCGCCCGCCGCUCUCUCCCUCACACACUCCGGGAGCAACGCGCACCCCGCCCGCCCUGCAGCCUUGCAGGCCCAGCCCCUUAAAGAGACACGCACAGGCAGCCCACCGGCCGCCAGUCGGCGCGCCAGCCCCAGCCCGCCGACCCUUGCAGGGGGCGGGUGCAACCCGGGUGCCGGGCCGGGCCUAGCCUGCGGCUUCCCGGAACAAUAAGUCCCAGGGCUGUGUGUUGUAGGCGGGUCCCGGAGCUGCCGGGCCGAGGCCCUCAGGACACCGGCCUUCUUCCCUCGGAGCCCUCCACCGCCCGAAGCCCGGGAGCCCUCGGAGAGCCCGGCCUCCAGGCUGUGAGGCAGCACCUUUGAGACAGUAUUCAGGGUUCUCUGGAGUCUGGUUUGCUGCGCACAUCCCAGGUUGGCCUCGGACUCCACGUACUAGGAUUACAAGUCACUUAACUGUUACCUGAGCCUCUCCUGGUUGCCAAGGAGGAAGGAUGGGUUGAGAGAACAAGGAGAUGGAAUCAGGACCCUCAGGCAGUACAGUCUGCUGCAGCUGGCUGAACCUGUCCUGGUCAUCUUCUCCCUGGGAAAGACCCAACCCAGCACAAUAUCUCAGCCUGGCAUCAUCAGGAUGAACCCUGGUAAGGCCUCUGCUGAGCAUCAGAACAGUCGCUUGCUGGGUUUGCAAAUCCACCCAGAGGAUCUGUAGCACAUGUGCCUGUCAGGGUCCUCACAGAUCCCUCUGUAAAGGCCACCUAGGAACUGCAGAAAGUUGGCAGUAAUAAAAGGUAUUCCUUUGUCUA
Long non-coding RNA from Onychomys torridus (southern grasshopper mouse), 1616 nucleotides. RefSeq lists it as uncharacterized. The transcript is spliced from 4 exons. The record is from RefSeq and is a predicted model, not a curated record. NCBI's taxonomy places the organism in Eukaryota, Metazoa, Chordata, Mammalia, Rodentia, Cricetidae.